GAUGAACGCUGGCGGCGUGCCUAAUACAUACAAGUCGAGCGAACAGACGAGAGUGCUUGCACUCUCUGACGUUAGCGGCGGACGGGUGAGUAACACGUGGGUAACCUACCUAUAAGACUGGGAUAACUUCGGGAAACCGGAGCUAAUACCGGAUAAUAUUUAGCUUCGCAUGAAGCAAUAGUGAAAGACGGUUCUGCUGUCACUUAUAGAUGGACCCGCGGUGUAUUAGCUAGUUGGUGAGGUAACGGCUCACCAAGGCAACGAUACAUAGCCGACCUGAGAGGGUGAUCGGCCACACUGGGACUGAGACACGGCCCAGACUCCUACGGGAGGCAGCAGUAGGGAAUCUUCCGCAAUGGACGAAAGUCUGACGGAGCAAUGCCGCGUGAGUGAAGAAGGUUUUCGGAUCGUAAAACUCUGUUGUAAGGGAAGAACAAGUACGUUAGUAACUGAACGUACCUUGACGGUACCUUACCAGAAAGCCACGGCUAACUACGUG
This 499-nucleotide ribosomal RNA is filed under the name uncultured bacterium. Its description in RNAcentral is "partial 16S ribosomal RNA". It matches the Rfam family "Bacterial small subunit ribosomal RNA", at positions 28 to 507 of the family's 1533-position model. The record is from RNAcentral.